CGGCGGACGGGUGAGUAACACGUGGGCAACCUGCCUGUAAGACUGGGAUAACUUCGGGAAACCGGAGCUAAUACCGGAUAACACCGAGGACCUCAUGGUCCUUGGUUGAAAGAUGGCUUCGGCUAUCACUUACAGAUGGGCCCGCGGCGCAUUAGCUAGUUGGUGAGGUAACGGCUCACCAAGGCGACGAUGCGUAGCCUACCUGAGAGGGUGAUCGGCCACACUGGGACUGAGACACGGCCCAGACUC
Molecule: ribosomal RNA, 249 nt
Filed under: Bacillus sp. (in: firmicutes)
Lineage: Bacteria; Bacillati; Bacillota; Bacilli; Caryophanales; Bacillaceae
Description: Bacillus sp. (in: Bacteria) partial 16S ribosomal RNA
Rfam family: Bacterial small subunit ribosomal RNA
Source: RNAcentral